UCUUCCGUGGCCAAGUGGUAAGGCAUCGACCUUAUGCGGUAAACAUUAGCUUAUGGCUUAGCCUGUCGAGGACCAGCGGUUCGAUCCCGCUCGGAAGAA
Molecule: non-coding RNA, 99 nt
Organism: Naganishia cerealis
Lineage: Eukaryota; Fungi; Basidiomycota; Tremellomycetes; Filobasidiales; Filobasidiaceae
Source: the annotation of a GenBank genome assembly